Molecule: small RNA, 1211 nt
Filed under: Oryza sativa Japonica Group (Japanese rice)
Lineage: Eukaryota; Viridiplantae; Streptophyta; Magnoliopsida; Poales; Poaceae
Description: sRNA Os03g0764150
Source: RNAcentral
AGUGUGGCCAGCAGCCAGCCUAACCAGUAACCAACCUGCAACCACCCCUCGCCCGUGCCACUGCCGUGCCGUGCCAGUACAAGCUCAUCAGUCAUCCCGGUUGUGCUGUGCGCGAUCGAUGCGUGGGCGACGUAGCGUUACGAGCGUUGCGAGCGGCGACGACGACGGCGCGAAUCUGAGCCAGCGGUGGUUGCCCGGUUGGCAUGAGGCUGGUGAGUGUGGUGAGCUAUAUAGCAGGGGGUAGCAAUUGAUAAAGCACCUGCACCUAACUACCUAUAACAGAAACAGGGAAAGGUUAAUGUUUUUUGGGGGGUUGGUUGGCUACACUGAUGAGAGUCUGAAACCUUCCCAUCCAUCGACCGAUCGCCGGCUUCUUUAGUUCCAAGCUACUGUCAUGAGACAGAAUCUGGUUCGUUACUCGUCGGUGCCGCGCUGUCGCUUCCCUGAAAAAACGCAUUGUACCCUUGUUUUUUAAUUAGGACAAACUGAAAAGAUUAUUGCGAAAGCAAGCUUAGCAGUCAGCACCAGGUUACACCUUCAUCAGCUAGCUCAGCAGGCAUGUCAAGGCUUCAAGCAUGGCUAUGCUAGCGCUAUUAUAUUUUCUAUCCAUCAAAACAUCAACUUUAUUUCAUGGCCACACAGCAGAUCGAGAACUCGCUUACAGUGCUCUUCUUAAGCAACCUUUGCUUGAUUGCCUGAAAGCAUACACGUGUCGCCAGCUAGUUGAAUUGAUUAAACUUGCUGGUCUAGCUGGUUAGGCAUACAGUUGUCUGGCCGGUGUAGUAACAUUUUCUAGCUAGUUACAUGUGACUGAUAUUGCUUGCCGUAUCGGGUGCCAUUGAAAACUGCGGGGAGAAGAGUAUUGUGACAGCUACAGUCUCCAGCUCUAGCUGCAGCUUGCAAGACUGUCAACAUGUGGACGUGCUGCCAACGCUCACAGCUAUGUAUGUACUACUAGCACACACCUACAAGUACAGCUAGUCGAAUGAAUUUAGCCAUGAUGUCUGAAAAACACUUGCUAGCUACUAUUUCCAGAAUGAAAAAUAAGUGACGAGAAAAAAAAAAUGCAAUACAACAUUACAGCACCAACAUUGCAGUGUAGUUAAUGGCAAUACAUACAGCCUAGCUAGUUUUUCUUUCUUGUGGCUCCAGUCUGUAUCUAAUGAUGUAUUAGAAUCAACCAUGCAAUGCAACUGUCCCAAUUCCCUUCU